This 71-nucleotide transfer RNA is filed under the name Murdochiella vaginalis. It matches the Rfam family "tRNA". Rfam says of the family: Transfer RNA (tRNA) molecules are approximately 80 nucleotides in length. Their secondary structure includes four short double-helical elements and three loops (D, anti-codon, and T loops). Lineage: Bacteria; Bacillati; Bacillota; Tissierellia; Tissierellales; Peptoniphilaceae. The record is from RNAcentral.
GGGAUAUAGCUCAGCUGGGAGAGCACCUGCCUUGCAAGCAGGGGGUCAAGGGUUCGAUUCCCUUUAUCUCC